RNAcentral lists this ribosomal RNA (465 nucleotides) under uncultured bacterium. RNAcentral's name for it is "partial 16S ribosomal RNA". It matches the Rfam family "Bacterial small subunit ribosomal RNA", at positions 28 to 507 of the family's 1533-position model. The record is from RNAcentral.
GACGAACGCUGGCGGCGUGCUUAACACAUGCAAGUCGAACGGAAAGGCCCCUUUGGGGGUACUCGAGUGGCGAACGGGUGAGUAACACGUGAGUAACCUGCCCUUGACUUCGGGAUAACUUCAGGAAACUGGGGCUAAUACCGGAUAGGAAUCCUUGCUGCAUGGUGGGGGUUGGAAAGCUUCGGCGGUUUUGGAUGGACUCGCGGCUUAUCAGCUUGUUGGUGGGGUAGUGGCUUACCAAGGCUUUGACGGGUAGCCGGCCUGAGAGGGCGACCGGCCACAUUGGGACUGAGAUACGGCCCAGACUCCUACGGGAGGCAGCAGUGGGGAAUAUUGCACUAUGGGCGGAAGCCUGAUGCAGCAACGCCGCGUGCGGGAUGACGGCCUUCGGGUUGUAAACCGCUUUCAGCAGGGGCGAAGCUUGUGGUGACGGUACCUGCAGAAGAAGCACCGGCUAACUACGUG